This 249-nucleotide long non-coding RNA is filed under the name Homo sapiens (human). Its description in RNAcentral is "HSALNT0407173". Lineage: Eukaryota; Metazoa; Chordata; Mammalia; Primates; Hominidae. The record is from RNAcentral.
CUUGUAUCUCAGUGUGGAUUGAACAGAAAAUUGGAAAUCAUAGUCAAAGGGCUUCCCUUGGUUCGCCACUCAUUUAUUUGUAACUUGACUUCUUUUUUUUUCUGCUUAAAAAUUUCAAUUCUCGUGGUAAUACCAGAGUAGAAGGAGAGGGUGACUUUACCGAACUGACAGCCAUUGGGGAGGCAGAUGCGGGUGUGGAGGUGUGGGAAAAUGACUGUCAAUAAAAUGCGGGUUUCGGGGCAAAAAAAA